CCUACGGGCGGCAGCAGUGGGGAAUAUUGCACAAUGGGGGAAACCCUGAUGCAGCGACGCCGCGUGAGUGAAGAAGUAAUUCGGUAUGGAAAGCUCUAUCAGCAGGGAAGAAAAUGACGGUACCUGAGUAAGAAGCCCCGGCUAACUACGUGCCAGCAGCCGCGGUAAUACGUAGGGGGCAAGGGUUAUCCGGAUUUACUGGGUGUAAAGGGAGCGUAGACGGGUGUGCAAGUCUGGAGUGAAAGGCGGGGGCUCAACCCCCGGACUGGUCUGGAAACUGUACGUCUUGAGUGCAGGGGAGGUAAGUGGAAUUCCUAGUGUAGCGGUGAAAUGCGUAGAUAUUAGGAGGAACACCAGUGGCGAAGGCAGCUUACUGAACUGUAACUGACGUUGAGGCUCGAAAGCGUGGGGAGCAAACAGGAUUAGAUACCCUUGUAGUC
Molecule: ribosomal RNA, 440 nt
Filed under: uncultured bacterium
Lineage: Bacteria
Description: partial 16S ribosomal RNA
Rfam family: Bacterial small subunit ribosomal RNA
Source: RNAcentral